GGGAGGGUAGCUCAGUUGGUAGAGCAACGGAUUGAAAAUCCGUGAGUCAGCGGUUCAAGUCCGCUUCUUCCCACCA
This 76-nucleotide transfer RNA is filed under the name Planctomycetota bacterium. RNAcentral's name for it is "Planctomycetes bacterium tRNA-Phe". It matches the Rfam family "tRNA". From Rfam's summary of the family: Transfer RNA (tRNA) molecules are approximately 80 nucleotides in length. Their secondary structure includes four short double-helical elements and three loops (D, anti-codon, and T loops). Further hydrogen bonds mediate the characteristic L-shaped molecular structure. tRNAs have two regions of fundamental functional importance: the anti-codon, which is responsible for specific mRNA codon recognition, and the 3' end, to which the tRNAs corresponding amino acid is attached (by aminoacyl-tRNA synthetases). tRNAs cope with the degeneracy of the genetic code in two manners: having more than one tRNA (with a specific anti-codon) for a particular amino acid; and 'wobble' base-pairing, i.e. permitting non-standard base-pairing at the 3rd anti-codon position. Lineage: Bacteria; Pseudomonadati; Planctomycetota. The record is from RNAcentral.